RNAcentral lists this long non-coding RNA (3115 nucleotides) under Capsicum annuum. Its description in RNAcentral is "long non-coding RNA (CANN_LNC022578)". Lineage: Eukaryota; Viridiplantae; Streptophyta; Magnoliopsida; Solanales; Solanaceae. The record is from RNAcentral.
UGGAAUAGUUGCUGUCUUGAUGAUCUGGAUGCAGUGGUGGCGGACCCUGUGGCGAGAAGCCAUCUCAGUGUACAUCUGUUCCACAGCACCAUUCAAUGUGGUGUCACGAUACUCCUUGUACAUGUUGUGAUACCCAGUUCUACUCUGGUAACGCAGCCAAAUACCAUAGUUCUUGAUCUUUGUUGGAUUCUUCUCAAAAAUCUACAAAUAGAAACAAACAUCUCAAUAAUAAAGUGCAGCACCUAUGUCCAUGGAUGAAGUAAAACCAGAAAACGAUAAAAAUACAGAGAGUUACAAGUACACAUAGAUUAUUGCUACCUCCAAAACCUGGAACUCCUGAGACAAAGGCUAGAUUUUGUAGUAGUGCCGUGAUUAUCGAACCAUUUAGAAAGUCUUUCCAAGUUACACACAUGCAAUUAGGAAAAAAAACUCCUAUCCUAAAAAUAGGUAUUACUAGCAAGCAUAUGUUGUGGCUCUUUAAAAAGUGGCAUCAUAUUAUUUUUCUUUGCAUUUUUCAUCCUAAUCUAUGCACAUCUUCUUCUUUUUUCAUGAUUUACCAGUGACCUCUGUCACUUCUUCGCAAAACUGUAACAGAGCUCAUUUCGAAGGGCAAAUAGGAAUAACAUAAAUUUAGUGCACCACCACUACGAAUGACAUGAAAAUUGGAACUGUUAUCUAGAAAUCCCUUUACAGAAAGAGAGAGACACUCAGACUAGUUAAAAAAAAGUAUAGAAGAUAACACCAUUGAUCACAUGCUAAGGACUAACAUUGGCAAGUCUAUACAAGCUUUGAUAUGAAGGCAAAUGGACAAUUUCUCCUAAGGGAUCCCAACAUACCAGAUUACUAGGAACCUACUAUUCAUGCUUCACAACGGAUUAACAGAAACAUUUACUUUGGAGAACCAGGGAAGAACAAUUUAACCGUAGACUUUUAUCAAGUAAUGGUACAAAUUAACCAUGAACUCUCAAACAGUAAUAACUGGGGACAAAACAAUCAAAUAAGCAACAGAAAAACAAAUUUUGCUAUUAAUACAUCCCAACAACAUAUCCUAUCAAAGACAACCUAAAAACUCGUAAAUUAAGAUAUGCAUUUGAUCAUACCUCAUUAAUAGCUAGCAUCUGACCAUUGCUCUUCUUCACCUUCUUAAGCUUCCUCAAAAAGUACCUUUUUCCAGCCAAAUCAAAUACCACAAUUAUUACCCCAACACACACUCACACACUCACACACAUGGUAUGUUUGAUUUCAUAUAACACUAAAUUAGUAACUACACCCUCUGCCCCAAUGAAUGUGGCACAGUUUGAAUUUCGAGAGCCGAAAAAUUCAAUUUUGACCGUGAAUUUGGACAUGGAAUAUUUUUAGAAAAUUAAUUAUUUUUACAUAUUUGGAAAACCAAGUAAAAAGCCUCGCUUAGUCUUCCAUAUUAAAAAUGGCAUUACGUAAGGAGUUUCUUGUUAUCUCAUUAUUUUCUUUUUCGAACGGCUUUUAGUGCUUCUACUUGAGCAAGGGUCUAUCAUAAACAACCUCUUGUAAGAACUACGUACAGACUAUCCUCACAAUGUGUAUGUUGUUGAUAACUAGUAUAACAAUAAUUGACAAUGGAAAAUAUUUAAAAGAUAUAUGAAAAAAUUACUAACUUGUUUGAAUCUCGAAAUAUAAAAUUGUCACGUAAAUUGGAAAGGAGGGAGUAAUACUAAUUGGAGGGGGUGGAAGAUAAUCAUGAGAUAACAAUACAACACACACACACAGAGGGGAUGAGAAAUAUUACCAGAACUUGGACUUGGCACGGACCUCAUUAGUAGCCCAAAGUUUCAUACGGUAAAUCUUAGGAUGCUCAUCGUUUUCUGACGGAAGAGCUCUUCCUACAACCUGGUAUUGAUGGAACUACAACAACAGAAAAAUCCCAGUUAUUAUUGCAAAAUUGCUAAAUUUAUUGACCAAAAGAUAUAAAAAGACAAAUUCAAUUGUUAAUCUGUGAUACUAACUUUGUAGGUCACCAUUUCUCUCCCGCUGCUUCGCGUCAGAAUCUUUGGGAGGCGUCUUUCAGUCCGAAAAUUUUGAAGAAGAAAAUGCAGGGGUUUUAUGUAUAUUGGCCUCUUGGAAAACCUAGGUGGAAAAUGGGCUGUAUAGACUAGACAGACCCACAUUCAUUUUUAUUGGGCUUUUAAUUGCUGGCCUGUUCGGUCGAAGUUGCACAAAUAGCCUGUUGUGGUUGGGGUUAUUCUCAAAUAUAGACCCAAAUUAGGGUGGCUUUCAAAUUUUAGCCCCAAAUAAAAAAAUUUUGUUAAAAUAGUCUUAACUUGUUAAGGCAUAUUUUCUUGGACGAAAAUUCCCUCCUGCAAGCCGUUAAAUCUCACGUUUCUUCUUGCACUGGAAAUCCUCACGUUUCUCCUGGGUAAGUCAAAACAUACAUUAAUACAUACUGCUUUGGAUCCAUAAGUUGUUAUUCUUUUGUCCAUAAUUGUUCGAUAUGUCCUCGAGGAGAGUGUCGUAAUUCAUUACAUACAAAAUCAAUUUGCGGAUGCACCAUUGAUUUGACAACCUAUUUACAGUUAUGUUAACAAGGUAACUUUCAUUGAAUUUGCAGCAGAAUAAAUAGGUGAGAUAGCAAAUGGUAGGGCUACUUUUUACUGUAUCUGUCCUCUCUGUAGUUGCUAGAAGCAUCAUAUCAAGGUGAUUGUAGAUCUGCACUGAAAAUGGUCAUACUAAAUCAAUUUUUUGAGAUGUCCAUUACAUCUUGCAAACUUCUACAAUAGGCAAUAGAUUCUACUUCGCCAUAUUUUCUCCAUUUUGUUUAGACAGUCUUGAGUUUAAAACGCUACACUUCUGGUUGCAUAUUUUCUUUAUUCAAGUUUUCAUAUUCGCUUUUUCAUUAAUUAAUUAAUUACGCUACUUCCAACUAUGUUUGUAGGUUUCUAUGAGACGAGGAUUGCAUAUUACUCUUGGAGAGGUGCUAAAGGUUAUCGAUUUACUGCCAUCCCUGACUAUUGAAGUUUUCAAACUUUAUGUAAAAUCUCAAUGUAGUUACUAGUUUCGGUAAUGAGUUUUGUGAUAGUUUGUAUUUCUCGCACUCGUUUUGUCCUUCACACUUCAAAAAACUUCUGAAUGUUGAACACGC